This 394-nucleotide ribosomal RNA is filed under the name uncultured eukaryote. RNAcentral describes it as "SSU rRNA". It matches the Rfam family "Eukaryotic small subunit ribosomal RNA", at positions 587 to 972 of the family's 1831-position model. The record is from RNAcentral.
AGCUCCAAUAGCGUAUAUUAAAGUUGUUGCAGUUAAAAAGCUCGUAGUUGGAUUUUGGGGAAUUCUCGGAGAGAUCGGUCUGCCGAACAGGUGUGUACUGUCUUUCCUUCCCUUCUUGUGGGUUUGGUUCAAUCUGUCCUUAACUGGAUGGAUUGUUUUACCUCCCGCUCGUUUACUUUGAAAAAAUUAGAGUGUUUAAAGCAGGCGUUUUCCGCCCUGAAUACAUUAGCAUGGGAUAAUAGAAUAGGACUGUCUGUCUAUUUUGUUGGUUUCUAGAUGGAUAGUAAUGAUUAAUAGAGAUGGUUGGGGACAUUUAUAUUCCAUGGUCAGAGGUGAAAUUCUUGGAUUCAUGGAAGAUAAACAAGUGCGAAAGCAUUUGUCAAGGAUGUUUUCA